UUUAAAGCAAUAAACUUUUAAUUUAUAGGAUCCUUAGGUUCAAGUCCUAAUACAUUCA
RNAcentral lists this transfer RNA (58 nucleotides) under Plocamiocolax pulvinatus. Its description in RNAcentral is "Plocamiocolax pulvinata tRNA-Lys". It matches the Rfam family "tRNA", at positions 18 to 71 of the family's 71-position model. From Rfam's summary of the family: Transfer RNA (tRNA) molecules are approximately 80 nucleotides in length. Their secondary structure includes four short double-helical elements and three loops (D, anti-codon, and T loops). Further hydrogen bonds mediate the characteristic L-shaped molecular structure. tRNAs have two regions of fundamental functional importance: the anti-codon, which is responsible for specific mRNA codon recognition, and the 3' end, to which the tRNAs corresponding amino acid is attached (by aminoacyl-tRNA synthetases). tRNAs cope with the degeneracy of the genetic code in two manners: having more than one tRNA (with a specific anti-codon) for a particular amino acid; and 'wobble' base-pairing, i.e. permitting non-standard base-pairing at the 3rd anti-codon position. The record is from RNAcentral. Lineage: Eukaryota; Rhodophyta; Florideophyceae; Plocamiales; Plocamiaceae.